GUGGGGAAUUUUGCGCAAUGGGCGAAAGCCUGACGCAGCAACGCCGCGUGCGGGACGAAGGCCUUCGGGUCGUAAACCGCUUUCAGCAGGGAUGAAACUGACAGUACCUGCAGAAGAAGCCCCGGCUAACUACGUGCCAGCAGCCGCGGUAAUACGUAGGGGGCAAGCGUUAUCCGGAUUCAUUGGGCGUAAAGCGCGCGUAGGCGGCCCGUUAAGUCAGAUGUGAAAACCGGGGGCUCAACCCGCGGCCUGCAUCUGAAACUGGCGGGCUUGAGUCUGGUAGAGGGAAGUGGAAUUCCCAGUGUAGCGGUGAAAUGCGCAGAUAUUGGGAGGAACACCAGUGGCGAAGGCGGCUUCCUGGGCCACGACUGACGCUGAGGCGCGAAAGCUAGGGGAGCGAACAGGAUUAGAAACCCCAGUAGUCC
Molecule: ribosomal RNA, 425 nt
Filed under: uncultured bacterium
Lineage: Bacteria
Description: bacterial SSU rRNA
Rfam family: Bacterial small subunit ribosomal RNA
Source: RNAcentral